Molecule: ribosomal RNA, 253 nt
Filed under: uncultured bacterium
Lineage: Bacteria
Description: partial 16S ribosomal RNA
Rfam family: Bacterial small subunit ribosomal RNA
Source: RNAcentral
UACGUAGGGUGCAAGCGUUAAUCGGAAUUACUGGGUGUAAAGCGUGCGCAGGCGGUUGUGCAAGACCGAUGUGAAAUCCCCGGGCUUAACCUGGGAAUGGCAUUGGUGACUGCACGGCUAGAGUGUGUCAGAGGGGGGUAGAAUUCCACGUGUAGCAGUGAAAUGCGUAGAGAUGUGGAGGAAUACCGAUGGCGAAGGCAGCCCCCUGGGAUAACACUGACGCUCAUGCACGAAAGCGUGGGGAGCAAACAGG